GAUGAAGAACGUAGCAAAAUGCGAUACUUGGUGUGAAUUGCAGAAUCCCGUGAACCAUCGAGUUUUUGAACGCAAGUUGCGCCCGAAGCCUUUUGGCCGAGGGCACGUCUGCCUGGGCGUCACGCAUCGCGUCGCCCCCCACAAUUCUCCGUAAAGGGAACGUGUGUUUUGGGGGCGGAUAUUGGUCUCCCGUGCUCAUGGCGUGGUUGGCCGAAAUAGGAGUCCUUUCGAUGGACGCACGAACUAGUGGUGGUCGUAAAAACCCUCGUCUUUUGUUUCGUGCUGUUGCUCGCAAGGUAAACUCUUUAAAAACCCCAAUGUGUCGUCUCUUGACGACGCUUCGACCGCGACCCCAGGUCAGGCGGGACUACCCGCUGAACUUAAGCAUAUCAAUAAGCGGAGGA
This 404-nucleotide unclassified non-coding RNA is filed under the name soil metagenome. RNAcentral's name for it is "partial contains 5.8S ribosomal RNA, internal transcribed spacer 2, and large subunit ribosomal RNA". The stretch from base 1 to 122 matches the Rfam family "5.8S ribosomal RNA", at positions 35 to 154 of the family's 154-position model. The record is from RNAcentral.